GACGAACCGUGCGAACGUUGUUCGGAUUCACUGGGCUUAAAGGGCGCGUAGGCGGCGGCCCCAGUCGGGGGUGAAAUCCUCUCGCUUAACGAGAGAAUUGCCUCCGAUACUGGGUCGCUGGAGGGGGAUAGGGGUGCGCGGAACUUCCGGUGGAGCGGUGAAAUUCGUAGAUAUUCGCAAGAACACCAGUGGCGAAGGCGGCUCACUGGCCCGGUACUGACGCUGAGGUGCGAAAGCGUGGGGAGCAAACAGG
This 253-nucleotide ribosomal RNA is filed under the name uncultured bacterium. Its description in RNAcentral is "partial 16S ribosomal RNA". It matches the Rfam family "Bacterial small subunit ribosomal RNA", at positions 524 to 776 of the family's 1533-position model. The record is from RNAcentral.